Molecule: ribosomal RNA, 476 nt
Filed under: uncultured bacterium
Lineage: Bacteria
Description: bacterial SSU rRNA
Rfam family: Bacterial small subunit ribosomal RNA
Source: RNAcentral
GAUCUGGCUCAGGAUUAACGCUGGCGGCGUGCCUAAUACAUGCAAGUCGAAUGGUAGCAAUACCAUGGCGAACGGGUGAGUAACACGUAGGUAACCUGUCUUUAAGCCGAGGAUAACCAUUGGAAACGAUGGAUAAUACUGGAUAGGACAUUUGAAGGCAUCUUUAGAUGUUUAAAGAUUUAUCACUUAGAGAGGGGCCUGCGGCGCAUUAGCUAGUUGGUGAGGUGAAGGCUUACCAAGGCGAUGAUGCGUAGCCGGACUGAGAGGUUGAACGGCCACAAUGGAACUGAGAACGGUCCAUACUCCUACGGGAGGCAGCAGUAGGGAAUUUUCGGCAAUGGGCGGAAGCCUGAACCCGAGCAACGCCGCGUGAACGAAGAAGUAUUUCGGUAUGUAAAGUUCUUUUAUUAGGGACGAAAAGACAGAUUGACGGUACCUAAUGAAUAAGCUCCGGCUAACUACGUGCCAGCCGCUGC